This 1446-nucleotide ribosomal RNA is filed under the name Candidatus Liptonbacteria bacterium CG11_big_fil_rev_8_21_14_0_20_35_14. RNAcentral describes it as "bacterial SSU rRNA". It matches the Rfam family "Bacterial small subunit ribosomal RNA". The record is from RNAcentral. Lineage: Bacteria; Candidatus Liptoniibacteriota.
UGGAUACAGCUUGCUGUGUCUUGAAAAGAUAAUUUGUAAUUUUUUUAAUUAGCGGCAAACGAGUUAGUAACACCUUGGUAAUCUACCUUUAAGCUUGGAAUAAUCUAGAGAAAUCUAGAGUAAUGCCAAAUAGUCUUAUUACCACAUAGAUAAUAAGUAAAGGACUUUAGUCCACUUGAAGAGGAGCCUAGGUCUGAUCAGCUAGUUGGUGAGGUAAUAGCUCACCAAGGCUAUGACCAGUAGGGGAGGUGAGAGCCUGACCCCCAACGACGGCACUGAGACACGGGCCGUACUCCUACGGGAGGCAGCAGUCGAGAAUAUUCCACAAUGGGCGAAAGCCUGAUGGAGCGACACCGCGUGCGGGAUGAAGGCCUUCGGGUUGUAAACCGCGGUAGCAGGGGAAGAAGUCAUUGACGGUACCCUGUGGAAAGAGGUCGGUAACUACGUGCCAGCACCGGCGGUAAUACGUAGACCUCGAGCGUUAUCCGGAUUUAUUGGGCGUAAAGCGUGUGUAGGGGGCACAGUAAGUCAACUGUUAAAUCUUGGAGCUCAACUCCAAGCCUGCAGUCGAAACUACUGAGCUAGAGGAUGUUAGAGGUGUGUGGAACACAUGGUGUAGGGGUGGAAUCCGUUGAUAUCAUGUGGAACACCAAAGGCGAAGGCAGCACACUGGGGCAUUCCUGACCCUGAGACACGAAAGCGUGGGGAGCGAAGAGGAUUAGAUACCCUCGUAGUCCACGCCGUAAACGAUGCCUGCUAGUUGUUUCGAGUAUCGACCCUCGGAGUGACGAAGCUAACGCGUUAAGCAGGCCGCCUGGGAAGUACGAGCGCAAGCUUAAAACUCAAAGGAAUAGACGGGGACUCGCACAAGCGGUGGAGCAUGAGGUUUAAUUCGAUAUCAAGCGAGGAACCUCACCAGGGCUUGAAGUAAGUGGAAAGCUUCUAGAAAUAGAGGCCCUCUUCGGACUGCUUAUUCAGGUGCUGCACGGUUGUCGUCAGCUCGUGUUGUGAAAUGUUCCCUUAAGUGGGGUAACGAGCGCAACCCUUGUCGUCUGUUAUAUGUGUCAGGCGAGACCGCCCGGCCCUAAGUUUAUAAAUUUAAUUUUAUAGAUUUAGGGCCGGGAGGAAGGUGGGGAUGACGUCAAAUCAGCGUGGCCUUUAUGCCCUGGGCUACACUCAUGCUACAAUGGCUAUGACAACGGGCUGCUAAGUCGUAAGACGGAGCUAAUCUCAUCAAACAUAGCCCUAGUUCGGAUUGGAGGCUGCAACUCGCCUCCAUGAAGCUGGAAUCGCUAGUAAUCGUGCAUCAGCAAUGGCGCGGUGAAUACGUUCUCGAGUCCUGUACUCACUGCCCGUCAAGUCAGGGGAGCCGGGAGUACCUGAAGUCCUACGUUCGUGGGAUAAGGGUAAGUUCGGUGACACGGACUAAGUCGUAACAAGGCACGU